RNAcentral lists this ribosomal RNA (492 nucleotides) under uncultured bacterium. RNAcentral describes it as "partial 16S ribosomal RNA". It matches the Rfam family "Bacterial small subunit ribosomal RNA", at positions 28 to 507 of the family's 1533-position model. The record is from RNAcentral.
GGUGAACGCUGGCGGCGUGCCUAAUACAUGCAAGUCGAACGGAAGGACAGUAAGAGUUCGCUCCUACCGUUGGCGAGGGGCGGAUGGGUGAGGAGUACAUAGGCAUCUUAUAUUUCUGGGGGGAUAACGGGGGGAAGGAGCUGAUAACAGAGAAUAUGUUGUACGGGAGAGUGCAGUGGAUAAUGGGAGUUUGCGUGAUUGUUUUAGACGAUGCCGCAUUGGCUAGUUGGGGCGGUAAGGGCACACCAAGGCGACGAUCCGUAGCUGGUCUGAGAGGAUGAUCGGCCACACUGGAACUGAGACACGGUCCAGACUCCUACGGGAGGCAGCAGUAGGGAAUCUUGCGCAAUGGGCGCAAGCCUGAUCCAGCCAUACCGCGUGAGUGAUGAAGGCCUUCGGAUUGUAAAGCCCUGUUGUUAGGGAAGAACAACUGUAUAAUAAACUCCCCACGUCCUGACGGUACCUAAUGAGUAAGCACCGGCUAACUACGUG